GGGGAAUUUUGGAUAAUGGGGGCAACCCUGAUCCAGCCAUCCCGCGUGUGCGAUGAAGGCCUUCGGGUUGUAAAGCACUUUUGGCAGGGAAGAAAAGGCUCUGGCUAAUAUCCAGAGCUGCUGACGGUACCUGCAGAAUAAGCACCGGCUAACUACGUGCCAGCAGCCGCGGUAAUACGUAGGGUGCAAGCGUUAAUCGGAAUUACUGGGCGUAAAGCGUGCGCAGGCGGUUUGGCAAGAAGGAUGUGAAAUCCCGGGGCUUAACCUCGGAACUGCAUUCUUAACUGCCAGGCUAGAGUAUGUCAGAGGGGGGUAGAAUUCCGCGUGUAGCAGUGAAAUGCGUAGAGAUGCGGAGGAAUACCGAUGGCGAAGGCAGCCCCCUGGGAUAAUACUGACGCUCAUGCACGAAAGCGUGGGGAGCAAAC
Molecule: ribosomal RNA, 425 nt
Filed under: uncultured bacterium
Lineage: Bacteria
Description: bacterial SSU rRNA
Rfam family: Bacterial small subunit ribosomal RNA
Source: RNAcentral